Molecule: ribosomal RNA, 253 nt
Filed under: uncultured bacterium
Lineage: Bacteria
Description: partial 16S ribosomal RNA
Rfam family: Bacterial small subunit ribosomal RNA
Source: RNAcentral
UACGGAGGGUGCGAGCGUUAAUCGGAUUAACUGGGCGUAAAGGGCACGCAGGCGGGGUGUUAAGUGAGAUGUGAAAACCCCGGGCUUAACCUGGGAAUAGCAUUUCAGACUGGUAGUCUAGAGUGCUGUAGGGAGGGGUAGAAUUCCACGUGUAGCGGUGAAAUGCGUAGAGAUGUGGAGGAAUACCGAAGGCGAAGGCAGCCCCUUGGGAAUGUACUGACGCUCAUGUGCGAAAGCGUGGGGAGCAAACAGG